CAUGGCUCCUUGAAUACAAUACAUAAGGAGUCGGACCUGCCCAGUGAAUAUAUUAAACGGCCGCGGUACUCUGACCGUGCAAAGGUAGCAUAAUCAUUUGCCCUAUAAUUGAGGGCUAGUAUGAAUGGUUUGACAAGAAUAAAGCUGUCUCCAUAUAAUUAUAUAGAAUUUUAUUUUUAGGUGAAGAAGCCUAAAUUAUAUUAAAAGACAAGAAGACCCUAUCGAGCUUUUAAAAAAUUAAUAAAGUAACAAUAAUAUUUAUAAAAUAAAUUUUAUUAAAAAUUUUGGUUGGGGCGACAAAGGAACAACUAAAGCUUCUUUCAAAAUGAUAAGACUAACAAGUAUUGAUCCAGAAAGUUUUGAUUAAAGGAAUAUAGUUACCGUAGGGAUAACAGCAUUAUCUUUUUUGAGAGCUCAUAUCGAAAAAAAGGUUUGUGACCUCGAUGUUGGACCAGAAUACCCAAAAGAUGCAGAAGUCUUUAAAGGUUGGUCUGUUCGACCAUUAAAAUUCUACGUGAUCUGAGUUCAGACCGGCGUGAGCCAGGUCAGUUUCUAUCUUUUAUUAACGAAGUAAGUUUAGUACGAAAGGACCAACUUACAAUAUUGUUAUAAUAUUGACUUAUAGAUUGGAUAUAAUGUAAAAAUAAAUUAAAUAAGU
This 658-nucleotide ribosomal RNA is filed under the name Tutufa rubeta. RNAcentral describes it as "partial 16S ribosomal RNA". The stretch from base 1 to 584 matches the Rfam family "Bacterial large subunit ribosomal RNA", at positions 1816 to 2925 of the family's 2925-position model. Lineage: Eukaryota; Metazoa; Mollusca; Gastropoda; Littorinimorpha; Bursidae. The record is from RNAcentral.